RNAcentral lists this ribosomal RNA (472 nucleotides) under uncultured bacterium. RNAcentral describes it as "partial 16S ribosomal RNA". It matches the Rfam family "Bacterial small subunit ribosomal RNA", at positions 28 to 523 of the family's 1533-position model. The record is from RNAcentral.
GACGAACGCUGGCGGCGUGCUUAACACAUGCAAGUCGAACGGGAGUAUCGAAGAAGCUUGCUUUUAAGAUACUUUAGUGGCGGACGGGUGAGUAACGCGUGAGGAGCUGUCCUAUGCAGGGGGACAACAGUUGGAAACGACUGCUAAUACCCCAUAAGCCGAGAGGUAAAAGGAUUUAUCCGGCAGAGGAGGUACUCGCGUCCUAUCAGCUAGGAGGUGAGGUAACGGCUCACCUAGGCGAAGACGGGUAGCCGGCCUGAGAGGGCGAACGGCCACACUGGGACUGAGAUACGGUCCAGACUCCUACGGGAGGCAGCAGUGGGGAAUAUUGGGCAAUGGGGAAAACCCUGACCCAGCGACGCCGCGUGGGUGAAGAAAUCCUUCGGGAUGUAAAGCCCUGUUGUAUGGGAAGAGCAGAAGACGGUACCAUACGAGGAAGCCCCGGCAAACUACGUGCCAGCCGCCGCCGUAA